RNAcentral lists this microRNA precursor (209 nucleotides) under Oryza brachyantha (malo sina). Its description in RNAcentral is "MIR812 microRNA precursor family". It matches the Rfam family "MIR812 microRNA precursor family". The record is from Rfam by way of RNAcentral. Lineage: Eukaryota; Viridiplantae; Streptophyta; Magnoliopsida; Poales; Poaceae.
AUUAAGCUUAUUUUUUAGUUUUUAGAUAUAAUAUUUUGACUCUUCAUCUUAUUUGAAAUUUUUUUAUGAAUAAUAUUUUUAUUGUUACUAGAUGGUAAAACAUAAAUAGUACUUUAUGCGUGACUAAUUUUUUGAAGUUUUUAUACAUUUUUUUCAAAUAAGACAAAUGGUCGAAGUGUUGGACACAGAAAUCGAAAAAUGAGGUUAUU